Molecule: ribosomal RNA, 468 nt
Filed under: uncultured bacterium
Lineage: Bacteria
Description: partial 16S ribosomal RNA
Rfam family: Bacterial small subunit ribosomal RNA
Source: RNAcentral
GACGAACGCUGGCGGCGUGCUUAACACAUGCAAGUCGAACGGAAAGGCCCUGCCUUUGUGGGGUGCUCGAGUGGCGAACGGGUGAGUAACACGUGAGUAACCUGCCCUUGACUUUGGGAUAACUUCAGGAAACUGGGGCUAAUACCGGAUAGGAGCUCCUGCUGCAUGGUGGGGGUUGGAAAGUUUCGGCGGUUGGGGAUGGACUCGCGGCUUAUCAGCUUGUUGGUGGGGUAGUGGCUUACCAAGGCUUUGACGGGUAGCCGGCCUGAGAGGGUGACCGGCCACAUUGGGACUGAGAUACGGCCCAGACUCCUACGGGAGGCAGCAGUGGGGAAUAUUGCACAAUGGGCGGAAGCCUGAUGCGGCAACGCCGCGUGCGGGAUGACGGCCUUCGGGUUGUAAACCGCUUUCGCCUGUGACGAAGCGUGAGUGACGGUAAUGGGUAAAGAAGCACCGGCUAACUACGUG